This is a microRNA precursor of Neolamprologus brichardi, 61 nucleotides long. The record is from Ensembl. Lineage: Eukaryota; Metazoa; Chordata; Actinopteri; Cichliformes; Cichlidae.
GCGACUGCGUGCGGCAGAGUGGUUCCGAAACACCGACUUCUCUACCGGCGCACGUCGCUGU